CCUACGGGUGGCAGCAGUGGGGAAUAUUGGACAAUGGGGGCAACCCUGAUCCAGCCAUGCCGCGUGUGUGAAGAAGGCCCUCGGGUUGUAAAGCACUUUCAGUGAGGAAGAACGCCUGGUGGUUAAUACCCAUCAGGAAAGACAUCACUCACAGAAGAAGCACCGGCUAACUCCGUGCCAGCAGCCGCGGUAAUACGGAGGGUGCGAGCGUUAAUCGGAAUUACUGGGCGUAAAGCGCGCGUAGGUGGCUUGAUAAGCCGGUUGUGAAAGCCCCGGGCUCAACCUGGGAACGGCAUCCGGAACUGUCAAGCUAGAGUGCAGGAGAGGAAGGUAGAAUUCCCGGUGUAGCGGUGAAACGCGUAGAGAUUGGGAGGAAUACCAGUGGCGAAGGCGGCCUUCUGGACUGACACUGACACUGAGGUGCGAAAGCGUGGGUAGCAAACAGGAUUAGAUACCCCUGUAGUC
This 465-nucleotide ribosomal RNA is filed under the name Vreelandella stevensii. RNAcentral's name for it is "partial 16S ribosomal RNA". It matches the Rfam family "Bacterial small subunit ribosomal RNA", at positions 338 to 795 of the family's 1533-position model. Lineage: Bacteria; Pseudomonadati; Pseudomonadota; Gammaproteobacteria; Oceanospirillales; Halomonadaceae. The record is from RNAcentral.